RNAcentral lists this small RNA (127 nucleotides) under Tamilnaduibacter salinus. RNAcentral's name for it is "PrrF RNA". The record is from RNAcentral. Lineage: Bacteria; Pseudomonadati; Pseudomonadota; Gammaproteobacteria; Pseudomonadales; Marinobacteraceae.
UUGACUCCGGCAAAUGAUAAUUAUUAUUAUUUUCACCGUGCCAAGUGAGAACGGUCGUUUCCAUUUGGUCUCUCUCAUCAGGAGCUUUACGGCUCAUUUCGCCCCGCCUUUGCGGGGCCUUUUUUUG